Molecule: ribosomal RNA, 467 nt
Filed under: uncultured bacterium
Lineage: Bacteria
Description: partial 16S ribosomal RNA
Rfam family: Bacterial small subunit ribosomal RNA
Source: RNAcentral
GACGAACGCUGGCGGCGUGCUUAACACAUGCAAGUCGAACGGAAAGGCCCUGCUUUUGUGGGGUGCUCGAGUGGCGAACGGGUGAGUAACACGUGAGUAACCUGCCCUUGACUUUGGGAUAACUUCAGGAAACUGGGGCUAAUACCGGAUAGGAGCUCCUGCUGCAUGGUGGGGGUUGGAAAGUUUCGGCGGUUGGGGAUGGACUCGCGGCUUAUCAGCUUGUUGGUGGGGUAGUGGCUUACCAAGGCUUUGACGGGUAGCCGGCCUGAGAGGGUGACCGGCCACAUUGGGACUGAGAGACGGCCCAGACUCCUACGGGAGGCAGCAGUGGGGAAUAUUGCACAAUGGGCGGAAGCCUGAUGCAGCAACGCCGCGUGCGGAUGACGGCCUUCGGGUUGUAAACCGCUUUCGCCUGUGACGAAGCGUGAGUGACGGUAAUGGGUAAAGAAGCACCGGCUAACUACGUG